Long non-coding RNA from Choloepus didactylus (southern two-toed sloth), 913 nucleotides. RefSeq lists it as uncharacterized. Lineage: Eukaryota; Metazoa; Chordata; Mammalia; Pilosa; Megalonychidae. The record is from RefSeq and is a predicted model, not a curated record. The transcript is spliced from 3 exons.
GAUACUGAAUGCGGAGAGUCUCCGCCGAUCCGUAACUGCGUUUUAUUUAGUGUAGGUAGAAUACAGCCUCGCAGGCCUCAUGGUCGUGUGCAAAAACAACAGCCCUAGAAAGAGCAGUGCCAAGGGUGAGGGCUGGAAACGGAAAUUGCCCUCAGAGGCCAUUUAAGUGCUGUUGGCGUGCACCGCUAAAGCGAGUGCACGAUGGUUUAUGGCUUGGGAGUCGCUGAGGUGGUUUUGAGGUGAUUUCUUGAUGUCUCUAUGGAGCCCUUGAGCCUUACCCCCUUACUGGAGGCUGCAGGAUCUUCCAUUCAUUCCAACACCUGCCUGCAUACAGACACCCCUGCAGCUAUGGAAGCUAUCUGUGUAGACUGCUUAUCAUCACCUGCCAUGAACACCACGAAGACCAUGCUGCUCCUCUUGACCAACGUGAUGGUGACCUGAAUGGUGCCCUGGAACUACAGCAUCACUUUCUCCUCUCCUGUCUGUUAUAAGGACACUUGUCAUUGGAAUUAGGGCCCAUCUGGUAAUCCAGGAUGGUCUCAUCUCAAGAUCCUUAACUACAUCUGCAAUUUGUAGGGUCAGGUGGUAGGGUGUGGACCUAUUUUGGGGUGCCACCAUUCAACCCACUACAGUCCAUACUCUGGUACCCCAAAAUUCACCUGUCCCAUGUGCAAAACACAUUCAUCCCCACCUCAACAUCUAUUAAAGUCUUAAACCAUUACAGCCUCAACUAAGUCCAAAGUCUUGUCUAAAUUUCAUCAGCUCAAAAAGUUCCAAAUCUAUUCAUCUAAAUCAGGAAAGGCAGAUCCAUAUUCAGAAUAAGUGUCUAUUCUAUAAGAACAUAUUGGUGCCCCUUCCAUGAUGGAAGUGGUCCAGUAUUAUCAACGUUCCAUCAGGUAGCAGGCUGAUCACA